GGACUGUCAUGGCUGGAGUUCACAGGACAGAGUGCUGGAGAGGAGAGAGCUGCACAGAGAGAACUUGAGAGGCCUGCAAAGGGUUCCCCUCAAGUAUUCGGCUGAGUACUAAUUAGUACCUGUCUGUGAGGAAAUUACCUGAAGCUGCGGAAAGAAACCCCUAAAUAUAUUAGGGGUAGCAGGAUCUGGUGCUCACACAGAGCUGAGAAUAUUUGCCCUUCUCACCAGCCAGACUGGAAAACCCCAUGAUUCACAGGACAUUAGGAAGAUUAGCCCUGAGCUAACAUCUGCUGCCAAUCCUCCUCUUUUUGCUGCGGAAGACUGGCCCUGAGCUAACAUCUGUGCCCAUCUUCCUCUACUGUGUAUGUGGGACACCUGCCACAGCAUGGCUUGCCAAGCGGUGCCAUGUCCGCACCCAGGAUCCCAACCCAUGAACUCCAGGCCACCAAAGCGGAACAUGCAAACUUAACUGCUGCGCCACUGGGCCGGCCCCCUGAUAUUCAAAUUUUACAUUGUUAUUCACAGUUAAGUCAGAUCCUGAAUGUGACUACAAACAAUUGCAUUUCUUUCCUUCUACAACUUUUCUGUUUCCCUGAAGGUUUUGGUGGCAAGUUUAUGUUGGCCUCCCAGUAGAUGGUUCUCAUGCUCCAUCUGUCUUGAAGAAGUAAGUUAUCUUGAUGUAAGUGGUUCACAUAUCAAGGAACAACAGGACGCCUCUAGGAGCUAAUGUUGGUGACAAGCUAGAAACUGAAGCUUCAGUCCAGCAGCUGCAAAGAAAUGAAUUCUACCAACAACCCAUGGAAACUUGGGAGUGGAUCUUUCCCCAGUCAAACUUCCAGAUGAGAACAUAGGCCAGAUGACACCUCGACUGCAGCCUUGUAAGACCUUGAGCAGAGAACACAGAUAAAUAGUCCC
RNAcentral lists this long non-coding RNA (915 nucleotides) under Equus asinus (donkey). Its description in RNAcentral is "lncRNA (ENSEASG00005037937.1)". The record is from RNAcentral. Lineage: Eukaryota; Metazoa; Chordata; Mammalia; Perissodactyla; Equidae.